Molecule: ribosomal RNA, 468 nt
Filed under: uncultured bacterium
Lineage: Bacteria
Description: partial 16S ribosomal RNA
Rfam family: Bacterial small subunit ribosomal RNA
Source: RNAcentral
GACGAACGCUGGCGGCGUGCUUAACACAUGCAAGUCGAACGGAAAGGCCCUGCUUUUGUGGGGUGCUCGAGUGGCGAACGGGUGAGUAACACGUGAGUAACCUGCCCUUGACUUUGGGAUAACUUCAGGAAACUGGGGAUCAUACCGGAUAGGAGCUCCUGCUGCAUGGUGGGGGUUGGAAAGUUUCGGCGGUUGGGGAUGGACUCGCGGCUUCUCAGCUUGUUGGUGGGGUAGUGGCUUACCAAGGCUUUGACGGGUAGCCGGCCUGGGAGGGUGGCCGGCCACAUUGGGACUGCGGUACGGCCCAGACUCCUACGGGAGGCAGCAGGGGGGAAUAUUGCACAAUGGGCGGAAGCCUGAGGCAGCAACGCCGCGUGCGGGAUGACGGCCUUCGGGUUGUAAACCGCUUUCGCCUGUGACGAAGCGGGAGUGACGGUAAUGGGUAAAGAAGCACCGGCUAACUACGUG